UCUCCCUUUCUGCCUACAGUUUGGAAGAUCUCCCCUAUAGCUCUGAGACUGUUCUGUUUCUCUCCCCAAGUCUCUCUCCUAGACUGUGGGAACCUGGAAGUCCCGCCUCUUUCUCUCUGCCCAGCCAUUAGCUACUGAUGUCUUUAUUGAUAGAUCAAAAACCAACUGGGGAUGAGGACCUUCAGUGUCAGUAAACACAGAGUCCUGAUCAAGCAUCAGAACCGCCUCCCUACAGAAGUCAUGCCUGGCUGUUCUCAGCAACUAAGGUGAUGUCUUUGAUGUCCGUUUACCAACAGGCUUUGGUUCUGUUUCCUGUCAAUGCUGAUGUAUUCUGGCUGUUUGAUUCAACUCUAGAACAAGAUUUACACAUGGGGAGAAAAACAGAACCAAUAACCAAUGGUCAGGAGGAAAGUUUGUUGGUAAUAGGUAGGAAGAACGCUGUCUCCAACCCUACCCCCAUUAUCUGGAGAUGACCUCAAGCAAGACCCCACCCAGCUAAGCUUCCGCCGUCUGGAAAGGAAUUAAAGGACGGCUUAGGUAGUGAAGGAGCCUACAGGAGGCUGGUGCACACGUGAUUGAACUAAGGGGCCAAAUUCAUCAAGCAGCAGAACUUGGCAGCUUCAGCCUGUGUUCUGGCUUUAGAGUCAAGGAUACUAGAAAGGGAUUAUGGUGAAGAAGAGCUGCUUAGGUCAGGCAUGUGACAGCCAUGUCCCUGCACAGAGUCCCGGAGAGGACACUGUGUGAAGCUGCGAGGUGAAGCCUGGGUUUUAUUGUCAACUCCAGAAUGUUGGAGAUGCUAGGGUCAUGGGAUAACUGCCAAGGAGAGAUGCUAAUAGGGAGUGGAACCAGCCUCCCAGAGAGAACUCAACAAAGCUGAAGGGAGUUGGAGAGGUGAAGAGCAUUCCGACACCAGACAUGGAGAUGCCGAGCUGAAUUUUGCCCAGGUAGUUGUCAGUCUUACAUUGGUCCAGUAUUUCCUCACCACGCUCCCUUUUCUCCCUUCUGGAACAUCCCGUACGUUGGUAAAUAUAUGAGCUCCUUUUUUAUUUCCAUUUACAGAGGUUGCCAUUAAGAGAUCGCAUGGAUCUCAGAAGAGACUUUGAACUUUGUUGAACUUCUAGACUAUGGGGACUUUUGAAGUGGGACUGAGCGUUUUUGCAUUAUGACAUGGCUACAAGACUCUGGGGCCCACGGAGUGCAAUGUGGUGGUUUGAGUAAGAAUGGCUCUCAAAAGUUAGUGUAUUUAAUUGUAAGGGAGAGGCGCUAUUUAAAAGGAUUAGGGUGCGUGGUCUUGCUGAAAGAAGUGUGUCUCUAGGGGUGGGCUUUGGGGUUUCAAAGGGUGAGGCUCUGAUGCUAAAGUCCUGUCCCCCAAUUGGUUUUUGAUUCAUCAGUAAAGAAAGCCUUGGGCCAAUUGCUGGGCAGAAGGCAGAGGCGGGACUUCUGGGGCCCUGGAAGCAGGAGAGAAAUGAGGAGGGGAGCUUUCGCCUCCAUGCUUUAGAACCAGAAGAAUGUAGCGGCCUUGUGAGGUCUUGGGAAGAGCUGGGGCCUGGGGCCACUACCACAGGAUCUCCUGGGCCUGAAGAUAGAGCUCAGCCAUUAAGAGCACGUGCAGCUCUUGCAGAGGACCCAGGUUCAGCUCCUAGCACCCACCUGACAGAUCACAGCCACCUGUAACUCCAGUCUCAGGAGCUCUCUUCCCUCACUUCUGCAGGUGCUGCACACAUGGUGCACAUACGCAGGCAAAACCCAUAAAGUAAAAAUAACUAAUCUUUUAAAAAAGGAUUUUAUGAUAUUAUUGUUUACCCUAUUACCAUUACUCUGCAUCUCUUUGUGUAGUUAAAUUGUUCAGUUUGGUAUCACAUCCCUGUGUCUGGAAAAUCCUCUAAACUUUCUUUCCUCUCAGAGCUGCUGUUAAUGUGUUUCUGUUCACACAAAGAAUUCUUUGUUGCCCCUAUACUCUUGAGAAAUAUUUUUUUCACUGCAUAUAAAGUUUUGGACUUGUGUGUGUGUGUGUGUGUGUGUGUCUGUCUAUCUUUGUGUGUGUCAGUAUCUAUAUGUGCCUGUGUCUAUGUGUCAACAUGUGUAUGCCUGUCAGUGUGUGUGUGUGUAUGUAUGUAUAUAUGUACUGUGUGUAUGUAUGUAUGUAUACUGUGAUACACACUUGGAAGUUAGAAGACAAUUUUGUGAAGUCAAUUAUCUUUCUCCAUCCUUAUGUAGACCCACAGUGGGGACCGGAAUUAACCCUUGAGUAGGCCAACAUAUCUUCAUCGGUUUACACAUCUUCCAACGGCUUUUAAAACUGUCACUUCCCAGCUCCGAAAAAAAAAAAAAAAGAAAAAAGAAAAAAAACUGUCACUCACUCCUGUUGAGGCUUAGCCUAUUGCUAUGUAUUAUAACGCUAAAUACUGGCCCCACAAGAUCUGGUUGUCCCCAAAGAGGAGAUUCUCGGGAAUGAAAAGAUCCUCAUAGACCAAGUAAUGCUGUGUAACCUUGUGCCUUAAUUUAAAACUAUUGGUUAAAUAAAGAUGCCUACAGCCUAUGGCUGGACAGAAGAGAGGUCAGAGGAGUUUCAGUUGGCAGGCUUGGGGUCUGAGGCAGAGACGAUGAGGAGCGCAGAGAAAGAGGAGAAGAGAGAAGAUGCCAUGGAGUAGGUAGGUGGGUUAUGAAAACAUGGCCAUGAGCACCGGCCUCUUGGGGUGGGAACAGCUCAGUCAGAACAUGACCAGCGAUAUCUCAGGGCUGUUGACAGGGAAGUAGACAAAACAGCACAGAGGGUGGUUAUCUUCCCAGCCCUAUUUUACUAUAAAUAUAGAGGUUUUGUGUCUUUUAUUGGGAACUAAAUGAUCUAACAUGGGGUAGUGUCCUAGCGUUUCCAUUGCUGUGAACAGACACCAUGACCAAGGCAACUCUUACACUUGACAACAUUUAAUUGGGGCUGGCUUAGAGGUUCAGAGGUUCAGUCCAUUAUCAUCAAGGCAGGAAACACAGCAGCAUUCAGGAAGGCUGAGUCUACAUCUUCAUCCAAAGGAAGCCAAGUACACCCGACAGUUACACACUUCCUUCAUCAAGGCCACACCUACUCCAAAAGGCCACACCUCCUGAUAGAGCCACUGUCUGGGCCAAGCACAUACCAACCACCACAGCUAGAAACCCCCAAUUCAUAUUUACCACAACACACUCCACUACUUAUUUUUUUUGAUGUGCACGAUUUGACUUCCAGCAAGAGAUCUGCUACGAUUUUCCUUUGUUCCUUCAUACAUAAUGCCUUGGUCGUGGUGUCUGUUCACAGCAAUGGGAACGCUUUUAAAAAAAAAACCUCUCCACUCGCCUUCUCCAUGUUCCCCUUUCUAAUUUAAGGGUUUUCAUAUGCUAUUCCUGGACAUGUUUAUAACUUUCCUGUUCAUCUUGGCAUCAGCGAGCUCUUGUGACCUACAGCUCGGUGUCUGCAGAAAUUUUGGAAAAUUCUCAGUCAUUAUUUAUUCAAAUAUCCCUGGUACGUUUUUCCCUUUGUUUCUUCUAAUCGAGACUCAUGCUGCUGGAUGACGUUUGGCACCGGUUGUGGCUGUUUUGCUCUCUUUUGUUUGUGUCACAGAUUGGGAAACUCCUACCAACGUUCGCCAGCUCUUUGCUCAACCCCACCGAGUCUGCUAGUGAGCACACUGAAACAGGCCUUCUUUCCCACUCUCUCCCUUCCUGUUUGCUCAUCUACCAUACUGCUCAUAUUUUCCAUUUCACCUUUAACACAGCGGCCUCAGAUAUUCAAGCCCCGUGGCAAACAGUUCCAACAUCAGCCCUGUACCUGUGCCUGAGGAACUCCACUGUGUUCUGUUGUCUGCUGGGGUCAGAACUUCCCAUGUGACUCUGGGACAUGUUCCUGCCCUCCUCCAGGCAUGGAAGUCUCCCCCUCUUCCUCCAGCUCCAAAGAAUGUUCAGCGGUGUCCUGAGAGGGUUGAGAGUCCACCACAGAGGGGGAACUGUCGCAGCAAGUAGCAGAGAUAUUAGCUGGAGCAGUAACUUGAGAGCUCACAUCUCAAACCACAAACGGGAAGCAAAGAGGCACACUGGAAAUGGUGAGAAUCCUUUUGAAGCCUGGAAGCCCAUCCCAGUGACACACCUUCCCCAAGGCCACACCUCCUGAUCCUUCCCAAAUGGGUCCACCAACUGGAGAGCAGGUACUCACCUCAAAUGAGCCUAUGAAGGUCACUGUUACCCAAGUCCCCACAGCUGGCUGGAAGGUUGAAUUGGUGACUGCUUUUCUCACAGUAUGCUGUUAUUUGGUCCCUGUAUUACUGUGACACGGGUGACAUGGGUGACAGAUGAGGUCCUGAGCCAGUGGAUGCAAAAAGACCACAGGGGACAAGGAUGUCUGGCCUCCUUGGAUGUAAGCGUCUACCUGGAACCGAGUAAAUACUCCAUAGAUAACUUCAGAGUGCGACGCCGUGGGAUUCCAGCUGAAUCAUGAUCGGAAUGACUCCGCAAUGACGGGCGCUCACACUUCACAUCUCAGCCAGCGCAAGACUCUGCCUUCCUCAUUCCCUGUUCCUCUGGUGGGACUGGGGGGCAGGGAGAGGCAGAGGGGUUGUUAUAAUCAUUUUAUAAAACAUGCAGGUGGUCUCUCAAUCUUGAGAGUGCCGUGGGCCUGUUAGGUCUGGUGGCACGUACCUGUAACCCCAGCCCUUUGGUAUUACAAUUCAGAUCACAGGAGGCAGGAGGAUCACAAGUUCGAGGGAGCCCUGAACUAUACACAGUUGAGUCAGUCAUAGAUCCAUAGCUUGCCCCUGUCUCAGGGGUGGGGGUGAGGGAAAUCCACAGUC
Molecule: non-coding RNA, 4814 nt
Organism: Rattus norvegicus (Norway rat)
Lineage: Eukaryota; Metazoa; Chordata; Mammalia; Rodentia; Muridae
Source: RefSeq, a predicted model, not a curated record